AGGACGAACGCUGGCGGCGUGCUAACACAUGCAAGUCGAGCGGAAGGCCCCUCGGGGUACUCGAGCGGCGAACGGGUGAGUAACACGUGGGCAACCUGCCCCAAAGCCCGGGAUAACGUUUCGAAAGGAACGCUAAUACCGGAUGUGGUGCAACCUGCCAAGUGGGUUGUACUAAAGGUAGCUUCGGCCUCCGCUUUGGGAUGGGCCCGCGCAGCAUUAGCUUGUUGGUGGGGUAACGGCCUACCAAGGCGACGAUGCUUAGCUGGUCUGAGAGGACGAUCAGCCACACUGGGACUGAGACACGGCCCAGACUCCUACGGGAGGCAGCAGUGGGGAAUCUUGCGCAAUGGGCGAAAGCCUGACGCAGCAACGCCGCGUGAGCCGAAGAAGGCCUUCGGGUUGUAAAGCUCUGUCAGGAGGGACGAAGCCACUCGGGUUAAUAGCCCAGAGGGUGACGGUACCUCCAGAGGAAGGUCCGGCUAACUACGUGCCAGCAGCUGC
Molecule: ribosomal RNA, 501 nt
Filed under: uncultured bacterium
Lineage: Bacteria
Description: bacterial SSU rRNA
Rfam family: Bacterial small subunit ribosomal RNA
Source: RNAcentral